CACAUGCAAGUCGAACGGAAAGUCCCUGCUUGCAGGGUACUCGAGUGGCGAACGGGUGAGUAACACGUGGGUGAUCUGCCCUGCACUUCGGGAUAAGCUUGGGAAACUGGGUCUAAUACCGGAUAGGAGCCAUCUUUAGUGUGGUGGUUGGAAAGUUUUUUCGGUGUAGGAUGAGCUCGCGGCCUAUCAGCUUGUUGGUGGGGUAAUGGCCUACCAAGGCGGCGACGGGUAGCCGGCCUGAGAGGGUGUACGGCCACAUUGGGACUGAGAUACGGCCCAGACUCCUACGGGAGGCAGCAGUGGGGAAUAUUGCACAAUGGGCGCAAGCCUGAUGCAGCGACGCCGCGUGGGGGAUGAAGGCCUUCGGGUUGUAAACUCCUUUCGCUAGGGACGAGGCUUUCUUGUGACGGUACCUAGAUAAGGAGCACCGGCUAACUACGUGCCAGCAGCCGCGGUAAUACGUAGGGUGCGAGCGUUGUCCGGAAUUACUGGGCGUAAAGGGCUCGUAGGUGGUUUGUCGCGUCGUCUGUGAAAUUCUGGGGCUUAACUCCGGGCGUGCAGGCGAUACGGGCAUAACUUGAGUGCUGUAGGGGGUAACUGGAAUUCCUGGUGUAGCGGUGAAAUGCGCAGAUAUCAAGGAGGAACACCGA
RNAcentral lists this ribosomal RNA (650 nucleotides) under uncultured bacterium. RNAcentral describes it as "bacterial SSU rRNA". It matches the Rfam family "Bacterial small subunit ribosomal RNA", at positions 52 to 712 of the family's 1533-position model. The record is from RNAcentral.